UACAGAGGGGGCAAGCGUUGUUCGGAAUUACUGGGCGUAAAGGGCGCGUAGGCGGAUGUUUAAGUCGGGGGUGAAAGCCCGGGGCUCAACCUCGGAAUUGCCUUCGAUACUGGACAUCUUGAGUACGGGAGAGGUGAGUGGAACUCCGAGUGUAGAGGUGAAAUUCGUAGAUAUUCGGAAGAACACCAGUGGCGAAGGCGACUCACUGGCCCGUUACUGACGCUGAGGCGCGAAAGCGUGGGGAGCAAACAGG
Molecule: ribosomal RNA, 253 nt
Filed under: uncultured bacterium
Lineage: Bacteria
Description: partial 16S ribosomal RNA
Rfam family: Bacterial small subunit ribosomal RNA
Source: RNAcentral